This 245-nucleotide ribosomal RNA is filed under the name uncultured bacterium. RNAcentral's name for it is "partial 16S ribosomal RNA". It matches the Rfam family "Bacterial small subunit ribosomal RNA", at positions 8 to 248 of the family's 1533-position model. The record is from RNAcentral.
AGAGUUUGAUCCUGGCUCAGGACGAACGCUGGCGGCGCGCCUAACACAUGCAAGUCGAACGAGCGAGAGAGAGCUUGCUUUCUUGAGCGAGUGGCGAACGGGUGAGUAACGCGUGAGGAACCUGCCUCAAAGAGGGGGACAACAGUUGGAAACGACUGCUAAUACCGCAUAAGCCCACAGGUCGGCAUCGACCAGAGGGAAAAGGAGCAAUCCGCUUUGAGAUGGCCUCGCGUCCGACUAGCUAG